UAUCUCUGUAGAGUCUGCAUAUCAAUAAGCGGAGGAAAAGAAACUAACAAGGAUUCCCCUAGUAACGGCGAGUGGAGCGGGAAGAGCUCAAAUUUGAAAUCUUCGAGGUUUGACCUUGACGAAUUGUAGUUUAAAGAAGUGUUUUCGGUUAGAGGAGUAGUAAAAGUUCUUUGGAAUAGGACAUCAUAGAGGGUGAGAAUCCCGUAUUUGACUAUUCUUUCUAGCUUUGUGAUACACUUUCAAAGAGUCGGAUUGUUUGGAAUGCAGUCCAAAAUGGGUGGUAAAUUUCAUCUAAAGCUAAAUAUUGGCGAGAGACCGAUAGCGAACAAGUACCGUGAGGGAAAGGUGAAAAGAACUUUGAAAAGAGAGUUAAACAGUACGUGAAAUUGUCAAAAGGGAAGCGUUCGACACCAGUGUUGUUUUUUCCGAAAAUCAAUUAAAAAUUGAUUCAUGCCAGGUUGUAUUGACCUUUAUCAGCUUGCAAUUUGGUUUUGGGUCCUCUUUUUGAUGCACUUUUCGGUUAACAAGUCAACAUCAAUUUCCUUUGCUGUAAAAAGGUAAGAGGAAGGUGGCUUCAAUUUCGGUUGAAGUGUUUAUAGCCUUUUAUCUCUGCAGUCGGGGAGAUUGAGGUCUGCAGCGUAGAUCCUUCGGGGCUAGAUACAUUUAUGCUAAGUUAUAGCUUUUCAUAGACAACUUGUUGACUAUGUUUAGUCAUGUAGCUUACUCGUAAGUGCUAUUUUACCUACGCUUAGGAUGUUGAAGACUCUACAGAGAUA
RNAcentral lists this ribosomal RNA (776 nucleotides) under uncultured Neocallimastigales. RNAcentral's name for it is "partial large subunit ribosomal RNA". It matches the Rfam family "Eukaryotic large subunit ribosomal RNA", at positions 24 to 625 of the family's 3401-position model. Lineage: Eukaryota; Fungi; Neocallimastigomycota; Neocallimastigomycetes; Neocallimastigales. The record is from RNAcentral.